Molecule: ribosomal RNA, 465 nt
Filed under: uncultured bacterium
Lineage: Bacteria
Description: partial 16S ribosomal RNA
Rfam family: Bacterial small subunit ribosomal RNA
Source: RNAcentral
CUACGGGAUGCACCAGUGGGGAAUAUUGCGCAAUGGGCGAAAGCCUGACGCAGCAACGCCGUGUGAGGGAUGAAGGCUUUCGGGUCGUAAACCUCUGUCGGAAGGGAAGAACGGGCAUUGGUCUAAUAGGCCUUUGUUUUGACGGUACCUUUAGAGGAAGCACCGGCUAACUCCGUGCCAGCAGCCGCGGUAAUACGGAGGGUGCAAGCGUUAUUCGGAAUUACUGGGCGUAAAGCGCACGUAGGCGGCCUUGUAAGUCAGGGGUGAAAUCCCACGGCUCAACCGUGGAACUGCCUUUGAAACUGCAGGGCUUGAAUCCUGGAGAGGGUGGCGGAAUUCCUGGUGUAGGAGUGAAAUCCGUAGAUAUCAGGAGGAACACCGGUGGCGAAGGCGGCCACCUGGACAGGUAUUGACGCUGAGGUGCGAAAGUGUGGGGAGCAAACAGGAUUAGAUACCCUGGUAGUC